AGCGUAGGCGGACAUUUAGGUCAGGGGUGAAAUCCCGGGGCUCAACCUCGGAAUUGCCUUUGAUACUGGGUGUCUUGAGUAUGAGAGAGGUGUGUGGAACUCCGAGUGUAGAGGUGAAAUUCGUAGAUAUUCGGAAGAACACCAGUGGCGAAGGCGACACACUGGCUCAUUACUGACGCUGAGGCUCGAAAGCGUGGGGAGCAAACA
This 207-nucleotide ribosomal RNA is filed under the name uncultured bacterium. RNAcentral describes it as "partial 16S ribosomal RNA". It matches the Rfam family "Bacterial small subunit ribosomal RNA", at positions 568 to 774 of the family's 1533-position model. The record is from RNAcentral.